UAGGGAAUCUUCGGCAAUGGACGAAAGUCUGACCGAGCAACGCCGCGUGAGUGAAGAAGGUUUUCGGAUCGUAAAACUCUGUUGUUAGAGAAGAACAAGGACGUUAGUAACUGAACGUCCCCUGACGGUAUCUAACCAGAAAGCCACGGCUAACUACGUGCCAGCAGCCGCGGUAAUACGUAGGUGGCAAGCGUUGUCCGGAUUUAUUGGGCGUAAAGCGAGCGCAGGCGGUUUCUUAAGUCUGAUGUGAAAGCCCCCGGCUCAACCGGGGAGGGUCAUUGGAAACUGGGAGACUUGAGUGCAGAAGAGGAGAGUGGAAUUCCGUGUGUAGCGGUGAAAUGCGUAGAUAUAUUGAGGAACACCAGUGGCGAAGGCGGCUCUCUGGUCUGUAACUGACGCUGAGGCUCGAAAGCGUGGGGAGCAAACAGG
RNAcentral lists this ribosomal RNA (429 nucleotides) under Gemmatimonadota bacterium. Its description in RNAcentral is "Gemmatimonadetes bacterium partial 16S ribosomal RNA". It matches the Rfam family "Bacterial small subunit ribosomal RNA", at positions 355 to 776 of the family's 1533-position model. Lineage: Bacteria; Pseudomonadati; Gemmatimonadota. The record is from RNAcentral.